RNAcentral lists this ribosomal RNA (487 nucleotides) under uncultured bacterium. RNAcentral describes it as "bacterial SSU rRNA". It matches the Rfam family "Bacterial small subunit ribosomal RNA", at positions 28 to 517 of the family's 1533-position model. The record is from RNAcentral.
GAUGAACGCUAGCGGCAGGCUUAACACAUGCAAGUCGAGGGGUAUAGUUCUUCGGAACUAGAGACCGGCGCACGGGUGCGUAACGCGUAUGCAAUCUACCUUUUGCAGAGGGAUAGCCCAGAGAAAUUUGGAUUAAUACCUCAUAGUAUGUGAGAAUGGCAUCAUUUUCACAUUAAAGUCACAACGGCAAAAGAUGAGCAUGCGUCCCAUUAGCUUGUUGGUAAGGUAACGGCUUACCAAGGCUACGAUGGGUAGGGGUCCUGAGAGGGAGAUCCCCCACACUGGUACUGAGACACGGACCAGACUCCUACGGGAGGCAGCAGUGAGGAAUAUUGGACAAUGGGCGCAAGCCUGAUCCAGCCAUGCCGCGUGCAGGAUGACGGUCCUAUGGAUUGUAAACUGCUUUUGACAGGAAGAAACACUGGUUCGUGAACCAGCUUGACGGUACUGUAAGAAUAAGGAUCGGCUAACUCCGUGCCAGCAGCCG